RNAcentral lists this transfer RNA (130 nucleotides) under Hassallia byssoidea VB512170. RNAcentral's name for it is "tRNA-OTHER". Lineage: Bacteria; Bacillati; Cyanobacteriota; Cyanophyceae; Nostocales; Tolypothrichaceae. The record is from RNAcentral.
GUGGCGGGUAGCUCAGUGGAUAGAGCGCUAAAACAUCCUUGUUCACACCUUGUCUGAAAAGACCGACGAAUUGAGGGUUAUCGACUUAAGUUCGAGAGGUCGCAGGUUCGAGUCCUGCUCCGCUACACCA